Long non-coding RNA from Danaus plexippus (monarch butterfly), 2114 nucleotides. RefSeq lists it as uncharacterized. Lineage: Eukaryota; Metazoa; Arthropoda; Insecta; Lepidoptera; Nymphalidae. The transcript is spliced from 4 exons. The record is from RefSeq and is a predicted model, not a curated record.
UGUAUAUGUAAUGUAUGCUGUAAAUCUAAUAGCACCUCCGUAUCGCUAUGUACAUUGUAAACAAGUAUAGAAUAUAAAAAUAUUGAGCAGUUUCUUAUGUCGACAACACUACGAGCGAGUCCUCGUUCGUAACUUAAAAGCUGCUCCUCUACCUGUGUGGUGGCGAGGCCCUGGGAGCAGCACAGCUCGUCCAGGCAGACCACACCGUUGUAAGUACGAGCCGUGUAUGAACUGUGCUCGCUGCGGGCGGACGAGCUGUCGCUGUGAAGACUCACGGGGUACUGGAACGACGGAAGGGGUCGUGAGGCUAUAUACAUAUCAUAUAGACAGAGAAGUGCGUCAAUUAACCUGAACUCAUUUUAUUUCUAGCUCCAAUAUUCCCCGUUCAUUUCCCUCACACUGCUCACCUUAUAGACCCUUCGUAUGAGACCCUCGAGUACACCGAACAGCACAAGUUUCCUCUCGUUGAUAGCGAGUUCCUGCGGUCGGAGGCGCCGACACAGGUCCCUCACUGUACUGCCGUAUGACAUGCCGGCGUACAUACGGAACAGAUCCGAUACUUUUGGAAGCUGACGAGCUGACCAUAGAUAUAAGUAAUAAGAUAUUUAAAAGGAAUUAAUUUUACCGGAAAUAAAAUCGAUAAAAAAUAUUGGUGUUACGAAUGAAUUGAACCUUCUUAUAGAUAAUAAAAAGUAACGUAUAAAAUAGUAACCACUAGCAAUACUAUCACCAUGUGACCAUUCAUAAAAGAAAAUCAUUAUAAAUAUGAAAUUCUAAAUGCUCACGUGAUCUCGCACAGAACUCCACACACUGUCUCUGGAGCCCCGCGCAACGAGUCAGUUGUCUCAACUUGGGCGUCGCACUGUACACCUGAUGUUGGAUACAAAAACCGUCUCAGAAUAGUGUUGCGUUUGAAAAACCGAGAAAAUGCGAAAAUAAAAAUAUAGACAAGAAUGCGAACGUGUUCUAAAUCUAUAUCAAUAAUUAAAAGACUAUUUUAUUAGUAAACUAAAUAUUUUUUAAAUCAAAUGUCACGUCUUCUUUACCUUUUUUUUGUAAAAAUCAAGUGAUAUUAAAGAAAUUUACAAAUUGAUAACACUUAUCCGUUUCUAGAACAUAUACAGAAUACUUGAUAUAAUAAAAACCUUCCUUAUAUUCUGAUAUAAAUAAAAUACAUUUCCUAUAAAUGUGUGGAAAUAAUAUGCUUCAAAAUCAAGACCGAUCGAGACUAAGUACAAACUCACAGCACAGUAUUGAAAGAUGGGGACGAGGGUGACCACUCCGUAGUAGACGAGGUUCUGGACACAGGCUCGCACCAGGCUGAUCUCGACGUCCGUGAGGGCUGCGAUUUUGGACACGUGGUUGAACCCGUCUAUAUGAGGCAGGAUCUAAAAGAGAAAAACUCAUUUUAUUAUGUAUACAGACAUUAACAUCUCGUCUCACCGUGAUCACGGUUGCUGCAAAGUAACCGAAACGUCGGGAGUAUGUAGUUUUUUUUAAAUAAUAAAAUAAUACUUAGAAAUCCGUAAAUAUUAGUUUAAUUUAAAUGAAUACUCGCGAAAGUCUUAGAUCUCAGUAGUAUAGAAUAUUGAUGUUAACAAAUGUAAGUGAGGAACAGCAAAUGCAAUUGUAACAGUGGUCAGCUGUCUGGAGAAGCUUGAACUAUAAACAUUAUAUAUAUUUUCAAUAUUAUGAACCUCAACAUAAUAUUGGGGAGGGUUAUAGUGAUCUGUGUCGAGCUAUGUUCAUCGCUUUGAGAAAAACGUUUGUAACCAGAAUCACGGUCGAGAUGCGUGCUGUGAAGCAAUUCAUGAGAUCGCACAACAAAUAUAAACUGAUGGCGAAGUUUGAAUAAUAAAUUUAGACGACGCUAAAUAUACGGAACAACGGACACGACAAAUAUUCUACACGAGAACGGGUUAUAUUAAAUAAUACUAGAAUCACUGUAUAUUUCCUUUGUUAUUCAAUGAGUAUUCCAUUUUCUAAUGACAUAAACACCAGGGGCGUAUCAACCGUAUCCAAGAUACGUGGCCCCCUAGCAACAAGACUCGGAACACUUGUGGAAGAAUUUCUGUAUCGAAAAUUUUCGGGGAAAUAAUAAAAGGCUGAACUAA